This 392-nucleotide ribosomal RNA is filed under the name uncultured bacterium. Its description in RNAcentral is "partial 16S ribosomal RNA". It matches the Rfam family "Bacterial small subunit ribosomal RNA", at positions 523 to 918 of the family's 1533-position model. The record is from RNAcentral.
ACACGUAGGGGCCUGACGUUGUUCGGAAUCAUUGGGCGUAAAGGGCGCGCAGGCGGCCGUCCAAGUCCGGUGUUAAAUGGUCGGGCUCAACCCGAUCAUGCGCUGGAAACUGGGCGGCUGGAGUCCCGGAGGGGAUGCCGGAAUUCCAGGUGUAGGGGUGAAAUCUGUAGAUAUCUGGAAGAACACCGAUGGCGAAGGCAGGCAUCUGGCCGGAGACUGACGCUGAGGCGCGAAGGCGCGGGGAGCGAACAGGUUUAGAUACCCUGGUAGUCCGCGCAGUAAACGAUGCGCACCAGGUGUCGGGCGGCAGCGCCCGGUACCGGAGCUAACGCGAUGAGUGCGCCGCCUGGGGAGUAUGCCCGCAAGGGUGAAACUCAAAUGAAUUGACGGGG